Molecule: ribosomal RNA, 305 nt
Filed under: uncultured bacterium
Lineage: Bacteria
Description: bacterial SSU rRNA
Rfam family: Bacterial small subunit ribosomal RNA
Source: RNAcentral
CCUACGGGGCGCAGCAGUGAGGAAUAUUGGUCAAUGGGCUAAGGCCUGAACCAGCCAAGUCGCGUGAGGGAAGACGGUCCUAUGGAUUGUAAACCUCUUUUGUCGGGGAGCAACGAGGCCACGUGUGGCCGAAGUGAGAGUACCCGAAGAAAAAGCAUCGGCUAACCCCGUGCCAGCAGCCGCGGUAAUACGGAGGAUGCGAGCGUUAUCCGGAUUUAUUGGGUUUAAAGGGUGCGCAGGCGGCAUGUCAAGUCAGCGGUAAAGUUUCGGGGCUCAACUCCGACGUGCCGUUGAAACUGGCGUUC